RNAcentral lists this non-coding RNA (126 nucleotides) under Gloeochaete wittrockiana. Lineage: Eukaryota; Glaucocystophyceae; Gloeochaetales; Gloeochaetaceae. The record is from RNAcentral.
CAAAGUGUGGAAUUCUUAAACCUGAUGAGGAGACUGGGAAGCCUAAGAUCAAACUGUACAUGGACAGUAAUGGUGUUCCAAAGGGCGAUGCUCGUGUUGCAUACCUGAAAGAGCCCUCGGUUGAUU